Non-coding RNA from Salmo salar (Atlantic salmon), 54 nucleotides. Lineage: Eukaryota; Metazoa; Chordata; Actinopteri; Salmoniformes; Salmonidae. The record is from Rfam.
UGCAUUCACUACUGUAAGUCGCUCUGGAUAAGAGCGUCUGCUAAAUGAAUGUAA